UAACAUCCGGAAACGGGUGCUAAUACCGCAUAGUUUUCUUGAUCGCAUGAUCGGGAAAGGAAAGACGGCCUUUGUGCUGUCGCUUAUGGAUGGACCCGCGGCGUAUUAGUUAGUUGGUGAGGUAACGGCUCACCAAGACGAUGAUACGUAGCCGACCUGAGAGGGUGAUCGGCCACAUUGGGACUGAGACACGGCCCAAACUCCUACGGGAGGCAGCAGUAGGGAAUCUUCCGCAAUGGACGAAAGUCUGACGGAGCAACGCCGCGUGAGUGAAAAGAAGGUUUUCGGAUCGUAAAACUCUGUUGUCAGAGAAGAACAAGUUGGAGAGUAACUGCUCCAGCCUUGACGGUAUCUGACCAGAAAGCCACGGCUAACUACGUGCCAGCCGCCGC
RNAcentral lists this ribosomal RNA (392 nucleotides) under uncultured bacterium. RNAcentral's name for it is "bacterial SSU rRNA". It matches the Rfam family "Bacterial small subunit ribosomal RNA", at positions 144 to 518 of the family's 1533-position model. The record is from RNAcentral.